Molecule: non-coding RNA, 457 nt
Organism: Pelobates cultripes (western spadefoot toad)
Lineage: Eukaryota; Metazoa; Chordata; Amphibia; Anura; Pelobatidae
Source: the annotation of a GenBank genome assembly
GUCCGCUCCCUCUCGGCGGCCAUUAUUUUAUCUUUCUGUCCGUAUGAGGCAAUGCAGCAGAUCACAUCUCUGGGGUUGCCAUCCUGUCUCACUGGGCACAGUGCUCUGUGUGCCCUUUCUAUGUGUUUCAGGGGCUUGAUCACCUAGAAGCUGUUUAAAUAAAUCAAUUAGUGUGGCCUGGAGCGGUUCUGUGCCUGCCUCUGGCAGGCCUCGGACCCGUAUGUUGUUCCGCCUACUCCUCUUCUCCAAGUCCUCCACUUGCCUGCGUAGCGUGAGGAGCAUGUUGUCCUGUCUGGUAACCGCCACCUCUGUCGCUCUGUGUUGCUCCUUGCAACCCUGUGCGGUUCUCUCCAUUUCAUCCACCUUUUGUUCAAGCGCUGUCAGAUCGGAGCGCAUGUCGGCAAGUUCUACAAGUAGGGCUGCGCAGAUUUCCUGGACUAAGGAGCCAGUGUCUGCU